This 433-nucleotide ribosomal RNA is filed under the name uncultured bacterium. Its description in RNAcentral is "partial 16S ribosomal RNA". It matches the Rfam family "Bacterial small subunit ribosomal RNA", at positions 29 to 507 of the family's 1533-position model. The record is from RNAcentral.
AACGAACGCUGGCGGCAUGCCUAACACAUGCAAGUCGAACGAGACCUUCGGGUCUAGUGGCGCACGGGUGCGUAACGCGUGGGAACCUGCCCUUAGGUUCGGAAUAACUCCCCGAAAGGGGUGCUAAUACCGGAUAAUGUCUUCGGACCAAAGAUUUAUCGCCUUUGGAUGGGCCCGCGUUGGAUUAGCUAGUUGGUAGGGUAAAAGCCUACCAAGGCGACGAUCCAUAGCUGGUCUGAGAGGAUGAUCAGCCACACUGGGACUGAGACACGGCCCAGACUCCUACGGGAGGCAGCAGUGGGGAAUAUUGGACAAUGGGCGAAAGCCUGAUCCAGCAAUGCCGCGUGAGUGAUGAAGGGCUUAGGGUUGUAAAGCUCUUUUACCCGGGAUGAUAAUGACGGUACCGGGAGAAUAAGCUCCGGCUAACUACGUG